UAUAUCUAACUCUUUCGUACUGUACCAAGCACCCAUUACUCGAUUUUCACUCUACCCAUGCAUCGCAUCUUUUUCUUCUUCAUCUUCUUCUAGGUCCGCUUUGCAUGCUUCAUUAUCAUAUAUAGCUGUCCGAUCCGCAGUUCCCACGAAAAAGUGAAAUGACAAAAACGGGAUGAGCAAAAAAAAACACUCGCAAACGGACGAUUAAUGUUGAAAAAAGGAGACGCGAAAAAACAUGUGUGGCCGAAAAGGACGACCCUCGAUCCAUUGUUUGAGAUUGAAAAGGAAUCAACGUGAUUUGCAUACGCAGGACGAUAGAAAAACAGGAGAGCGAGAGCAAGCGAGAAAGAGAGAGAGAGAGAGGGCACGGCUGCUCAACCACCACCACCACCAACACAAGACCUUAUCUAUUUGUCUUGGGCCCAGAGGCCAGGAUCUCAGCCAGCGUUUUAUUCAAAUUUCGUUCGUGUGAAGAAUGCUUCGGAUGCCUGGAGCCUGGGAACAUCCGAAAAAACACAGAGACCGAGACGCCGCUUCACUUAAAAGAUCUUCCUUAAGGUUGUCCUUUUGCUAGACAUUUGUUAGACAGGCCAUAAGCUAUGCCAGCUCUAAUUAGCUAGACAAAGUAAAAGUAAAAAUUUCGAGAUCCCUUGCUUUGCAUAUUUGAGGUUAAGAUUAUGUUGCCCGAGCCACGUGACGUUCGGCUUAAGCAGGCGAUUAUGCAAUUUUUUCCCAUCAUCACCAUUCGAUUUCUGCACUCAUAAUUGCAUUUCAACAAUGUUUGACAACAGUAAAACAGUCAAGAGUUAUCCCAGCCUUGCAUUUGCAUGCGAAUCUUCAGGUAAUCACGGCACUCCCUGCUGACUUGCGAAAUUUGCAUAGGUUUCGCACAGGGUGCACUCGAGAUUUGCAUAACUAAGCCUGGCGAACGAUGCGCUGAAAAGGGACAACAAUUGCAGCAAUAUAAUCCGCUAAGUGGGCACACUCCGGGGUUAAUGCCUAA
This is a long non-coding RNA of Drosophila navojoa, 1003 nucleotides long. Lineage: Eukaryota; Metazoa; Arthropoda; Insecta; Diptera; Drosophilidae. The record is from RefSeq and is a predicted model, not a curated record.